CCUCCAAGGCUAAAUACUCUCUAUCGACCGAUAGUGAACCAGUACCGUGAGGGAAAGGCGAAAAGAACCCCGGAGAGGGGAGUGAAAUAGAACCUGAAACCGUGUGCAUACAAGCAGUGGGAGCCGUAAGGUGACUGCGUACCUUUUGUAUAAUGGGUCAGCGACUUACUUUCAGUAGCAAGGUUAACCGUUUAGGGGAGCCGUAGAGAAAUCGAGUCUUAACUGGGCGAUCAGUUGCUGGAAGUAGACCCGAAACCGAGCGAUCUAUCCAUGGCCAGGGUGAAGGUUAGGUAACACUGACUGGAGGCCCGAACCCACAUCUGUUGAAAAAGAUGGGGAUGAGCUGUGGAUCGGAGUGAAAGGCUAAUCAAGCUCGGAGAUAGCUGGUUCUCCUCGAAAGCUAUUUAGGUAGCGCCUCAUGUCUCACCUUGGGGGGUAGAGCACUGUUUCGGCUAGGGGGUCAUCCCGACUUACCAACCCGAUGCAAACUCCGAAUACCGAGGAGUGCAAUCAUGGGAGACACACGGCGGGUGCUAACGUCCGUCGUGGAAAGGGAAACAACCCAGACCGCCAGCUAAGGUCCCAAAAUCUAGAUUAAGUGGGAAACGAUGUGGGAAGGCACAGACAGCUAGGAGGUUGGCUUAGAAGCAGCCACCCUUUAAAGAAAGCGUAAUAGCUCACUAGUCGAGUCGGCCUGCGCGGAAGAUGUAACGGGGCUAAAUCUAGUACCGAAGCUGCGGAUCUCGUAAGAGAUGGUAGAGGAGCGUUCUGUAAGUCUGUGAAGGUGAAUCGUAAGGUUUGCUGGAGAUAUCAGAAGUGCGAAUGCUGACAUGAGUAACGAUAAAGGGGGUGAAAAACCCCCUCGCUGAAAGACCAAGGGUUCCUGUCCAACGUUAAUCGGGGCAGGGUGAGUCGACCCCUAAGGCGAGGGCGAAAGCCGUAGUCGAUGGGAAACAGGUUAAUAUUCCUGUACCACCACGUGAUGCGAUGGAGGGACGGAGUAGGCUAGGUGAUCAGGGCGUUGGUUGUCCCUGUUCAAGGAUGUAGGCAGAGAGCUUAGGCAAAUCCGGGCUCUUAAUGCUGAGAUCUGAUGUCGAGUUUCUACGGAAACGAAGUCAUUGAUGCCAUGCUUCCAAGAAAAGCUUCUAAGCUUCAGUCACGUGGGAUCGUACCCGAAACCGACACAGGUGGUCAGGUCGAGAAGACCAAAGCGCUUGAGAGAACUUGGGUGAAGGAACUAGGCAAAAUGGCACCGUAACUUCGGGAGAAGGUGCGCCGGUGACGGUGAUGGACCUCGCGUCUUAAGCUGUUGCCGGUCGAAGUAACCAGGCCGCUGCGACUGUUUAUUAAAAACACAGCACUCUGCAAACUCGUAAGAGGACGUAUAGGGUGUGACGCCUGCCCGGUGCCGGAAGGUUAAUUGAUGGGGUUAGACUUAUGUCGAAGCUCUUGAUCGAAGCCCCGGUAAACGGCGGCCGUAACUAUAACGGUCCUAAGGUAGCGAAAUUCCUUGUCGGGUAAGUUCCGACCUGCACGAAUGGCGUAACGAUGGCCACACUGUCUCCACCAGAGACUCAGUGAAAUUGAAAUUGCGGUUAAGAUGCCGUAUACCCGCGGCUAGACGGAAAGACCCCGUGAACCUUUACUACAGCUUUGCACUGAACUUUGAACCUACUUGUGUAGGAUAGCUGGGAGGCGUUGAAGCCAUGUCGCCAGAUAUGGUGGAGCCACACUUGAAAUACCAGCCUGGUAUGUUUGGAGUUCUAACCUAGGCCCCUUAUCGGGGUUGGGGACAGUGUAUGGUGGGUAGUUUGACUGGGGCGGUCUCCUCCCAAAGCGUAACGGAGGAGCACGAAGGUACACUAAUCAUGGUCGGACAUCAUGAGGUUAGUGCAAUGGCAUAAGUGUGCUUGACUGCGAGACAGACACGUCGAGCAGGUACGAAAGUAGGUCAUAGUGAUCCGGUGGUUCUG
RNAcentral lists this ribosomal RNA (1973 nucleotides) under marine metagenome. RNAcentral's name for it is "bacterial LSU rRNA". It matches the Rfam family "Bacterial large subunit ribosomal RNA", at positions 457 to 2431 of the family's 2925-position model. The record is from RNAcentral.